Molecule: transfer-messenger RNA, 360 nt
Filed under: Xanthobacteraceae bacterium
Lineage: Bacteria; Pseudomonadati; Pseudomonadota; Alphaproteobacteria; Hyphomicrobiales; Xanthobacteraceae
Rfam family: Alphaproteobacteria transfer-messenger RNA
About the family: Bacterial tmRNA, also known as 10Sa RNA or SsrA, is named for its dual tRNA and mRNA-like properties. Its role is to liberate the mRNA from a stalled ribosome. To accomplish this part of the tmRNA is used as a reading frame that ends in a translation stop signal.
Source: RNAcentral
GGUCUUUCAUUGGCCGCGCCCGCGUCCUAUAUUGGUUAUACCGUCCGUCAGGGCGGCUACGGCAAUAAAUGACCGUCGCAAUAAACCAUUCGGACCCGGGGGCAGUACCCGGCGCCUCCACCCAAGCCCGUGGAAAAAAACGGGUUUCGGCGGGGGCGAGAUAGGAUCGACGAGGGCGUAAAGGGCGUGUUUUUGCUCGGUAUGGUUCCGCCGUUAUCGGGCCAUUGCAAUAGUUGCCAACGACAACUUUGCUCCGGUUGCUCAGGCCGCGUAACGCGGUUUGAAAUGCCGAUCUAAAGCCCUGAGGUCUUAGCAGCUUCAGGCGGGGUUCGGGGGCACCUGGCAACAGAAGCCCCCACU